AUUGAUUAAAAAGAAAAUUUCUUAUAUAUAGAUUUACAAUCUAU
Molecule: transfer RNA, 44 nt
Filed under: Drosophila camargoi
Lineage: Eukaryota; Metazoa; Arthropoda; Insecta; Diptera; Drosophilidae
Description: partial tRNA-Tyr
Source: RNAcentral